AUUGAACGCUGGCGGCAGGCCUAACACAUGCAAGUCGAGCGGAUGAAGGGAGCUUGCUCCUGGAUUCAGCGGCGGACGGGUGAGUAAUGCCUAGGAAUCUGCCUGGUAGUGGGGGAUAACGUCCGGAAACGGGCGCUAAUACCGCAUACGCCCUGAGGGAGAAAGUGGGGGAUCUUCGGACCUCAGGCUAUUAGAUGAGCCUAGGUCGGAUUAGCUAGUUGGUUGGGUAAAGGCCUACCAAGGCGACGAUCCGUAACUGGUCUGAGAGGAUGAUCAGUCACACUGGAACUGAGACACGGUCCAGACUCCUACGGGAGGCAGCAGUGGGGAAUAUUGGACAAUGGGCGAAAGCCUGAUCCAGCCAUGCCGCGUGAGUGAAGAAGGUCUUCGGAUUGUAAAGCACUUUAAGUUGGGAAGAAGGGCAGUAAGUUAAUACCUUGCUGUUUUGACGUUACCAACAGAAUAAGCACCGGCUAACUUCGUG
RNAcentral lists this ribosomal RNA (484 nucleotides) under uncultured bacterium. RNAcentral describes it as "partial 16S ribosomal RNA". It matches the Rfam family "Bacterial small subunit ribosomal RNA", at positions 30 to 507 of the family's 1533-position model. The record is from RNAcentral.